CAACAGUGUAUGCUAAAGUUGUUGCGGUUGAAAAGCUCGUAGUUGGAUUUUGGGCGGGCGCAACCGGUCCGUCGCAGGGCGUGUCACUGGUUGCGUUCGCCUCACCUUCGGUUCUCCGUCGGUGCUCUUGACUAAGUGUCGGCGGUGGCCGAUAAGUUUACUUUGAAAAAUUAGAGUGUUUCAAGCAGGCACACGCCUUGAAUACAUUAGCAUGGAAUAAUAAGAUAGGACCUCGGUUCUAUUUUGUUGGUUUCUUAGAGCUGAGGUAAUGAUUAAUAGGGAUAGUUGGGGGCGAUUCGUAUUUAACUUGUCAGAGGUGGAAAUUCUUUGGAUUUGUUUAAAGUAACGGACGUACUGCGAAAGACAUUUGUCCAAGGAUGUUUUCUA
RNAcentral lists this ribosomal RNA (387 nucleotides) under uncultured eukaryote. RNAcentral's name for it is "bacterial SSU rRNA". It matches the Rfam family "Eukaryotic small subunit ribosomal RNA", at positions 592 to 973 of the family's 1831-position model. The record is from RNAcentral.